Long non-coding RNA from Eubalaena glacialis (North Atlantic right whale), 870 nucleotides. RefSeq lists it as uncharacterized. The record is from RefSeq and is a predicted model, not a curated record. The transcript is spliced from 3 exons. NCBI's taxonomy places the organism in Eukaryota, Metazoa, Chordata, Mammalia, Artiodactyla, Balaenidae.
GAGCAAGGAUAAGAUGCCAUUCCCCAAGGAUGCCUGGAUCAGUCAAGAGUCACAAGCCUGUCCACAGUGAUUGUCUCCUUUUCACAGACUAAACAACACCAAGUUGCACCCACAUCAAAGCAGCUAAUCUCCUGAUGUCCCAAGAUACCACAUACGUUCAGAAUGGCCCUGCGGACGAGACCCUGACAAGGUUGGCUCCAUGCGGUCCGGUUUGCACAAGGCUUCGGGGUGGUCGCAAUACCUGAGAGGGGUACGUACUAUCACAGGAAGGCCCCAGGCAGUGCCGCCAGGAAGAGGGUUUCUUCCCCGGCUCGCAGCGUCUCUCAGCCACCGUCUUGCAGCUCCUUGUGUGGACACAGUCCACCUUCCGAGACUGGAAGCCCUGACCACAGGCUGACGUACAGGGCCUCCAAGGGCCUGCGUGCCAACAUGCAUCACGAGCCCCCGACGAGCAGUUCCUCCAAAAGGAAACUCAUCUGCAUUGUUCCUGGCUGACUAAGCAAAGUGGUGGAGGAAUCACAACCUCAAUAGAGGCAAGCAAACCACGUGUUUCCAUGAGCCUCCGGCACCACAUCAAGGCACGCACCUCAAAAGACACACUCUCCUGAUGAGCUGGAGCAGAUCGAUUUAGGCAAGGAAGAGAAGAAUGACACAUUUGUUGACAACCUGUAAGCUCCGUUUAUAUAAGCACUUGAAAUAUAUUCUGCUAUGAGUAUGCAUUUGUUUGUGAGCAAUCUUCUCCGCUAUGAGGAGUGCUCUAGUUUACAUUUAGGACACACUAUAACUCGUAGUGAGAGCUAACAAAGACCUUUUGGGAAGAGGGAUCUCUCUCUAGCCUUCUUACCCUUUAAAACAGAACAGAAAGUUAAU